UAGGGAAUUUUCCACAAUGGGCGAAAGCCUGAUGGAGCAAUCCUGCGUGAAUGAUGAAGGUCUUAUAUAGAUUGUAAAAUUCUUUUAUUGGAGACGAAUAGUAAGAAGAGGAAAUGCUUUUUAUUUGACUGUAUCCUUUGAAUAAGUAUCGGCUAACUAUGUGCCAGCAGCCGCGGUAAUACAUAGGAUGCAAGCAUUAUCCGGAUUUACUGGGCGUAAAGCAAGCGCGGGCGGAUUAAUAAGUCUGGUGUGAAAUACAUUUGCUCAACAAAUUGUAUGCAUUGGAAACUAUUAAUCUAGAGUAUAAUAGAGAGUUUUGGAACUCCAUGUGAAGCGGUGGAAUGCGUAGAUAUAUGGAAGAACACCAGAGGCGAAAGCGAAAACUUUGACUAUCACUGACGCUUAGGCUUGAAAGUGUGGGGAGCAAAUA
Molecule: ribosomal RNA, 430 nt
Filed under: uncultured Mycoplasma sp.
Lineage: Bacteria; Bacillati; Mycoplasmatota; Mollicutes; Mycoplasmatales; Mycoplasmataceae
Description: partial 16S ribosomal RNA
Rfam family: Bacterial small subunit ribosomal RNA
Source: RNAcentral